This 467-nucleotide ribosomal RNA is filed under the name uncultured bacterium. RNAcentral's name for it is "partial 16S ribosomal RNA". It matches the Rfam family "Bacterial small subunit ribosomal RNA", at positions 28 to 507 of the family's 1533-position model. The record is from RNAcentral.
GACGAACGCUGGCGGCGUGCUUAACACAUGCAAGUCGAACGGAAAGGCCUCUUUCGGGGGGUACUCGAGUGGCGAACGGGUGAGUAACACGUGAGUAACCUGCCCUUGACUUUGGGAUAACUUCAGGAAACUGGGGCUAAUACCGGAUAGGAGCUCCUGCUGCAUGGCGGGGGUUGGAAAGUUUCGGCGGUUGGGGAUGGACUCGCGGCUUAUCAGCUUGUUGGUGGGGUAGUGGCUUACCAAGGCUUUGACGGGUAGCCGGCCUGAGAGGGUGACCGGCCACAUUGGGACUGAGAUACGGCCCAGACUCCUACGGGAGGCAGCAGUGGGGAAUAUUGCACAAUGGGUGGAAGCCUGAUGCAGCAACGCCGUGUGCGGGAUGUCGGCCUUCGGGUUGUAAACCGCUUUCGCUCAUGACGAAGCUUUGUGUGACGGUAGUGGGUAAAGAAGCACCGGCUAACUACGUG